Molecule: ribosomal RNA, 253 nt
Filed under: uncultured bacterium
Lineage: Bacteria
Description: partial 16S ribosomal RNA
Rfam family: Bacterial small subunit ribosomal RNA
Source: RNAcentral
UACAGGGGGGGCAAGCGUUGUUCGGAAUUACUGGGCGUAAAGGGCCAGUAGGCGGCCAACUAAGUCCGACGUGAAAUCCCAAAGCUUAACUUUGGAACUGCGUCGGAUACUGGAUGGCUUGAAUCCGGGAGAGGGAUGCAGAAUUCCAGGUGUAGCGGUGAAAUGCGUAGAUAUCUGGAGGAAUACCGGUGGCGAAGGCGGCAUCCUGGACCGGCAUUGACGCUGAGGAGCGAAAGCUAGGGGAGCAAACGGG